UUCCAUAGACCAAAAAAUGUCUUUGAUCCGCUAACCAAAAUUCAAGAUGUGAAAAUAAAAAAAAUUCCUAAUUGGAAAUAGAAUUGUAUUAUAUAAUGUGGUGUAAGAAGCAUUCUUAACUCAAAAAACAUUCUUCUGCACAAGAUGGCCAAGAUUUUGAUGACUCUAUUUUUGGCAGUCUCUUUCUUUAUCAUUUCACGCGGUCAGUCUCGCUCUCUCUCUCUUUAUCUUAUACAAUCACAUAUAUACACAAAAUUCGAAUAUAAAUAUGUUAGUAAAGUUUAAUUAAUUAAGUUAUGAAGUGAGUAAAAAUCGUGUUAAAAUGUUUCUUUCAAAUGGCGAGCCAAGAUUUGAAUCUUGUUGGUUUGGAAUUCUAGUUGAUUAUGUUAUUGGAUUCUAAAUUAACAAUGUUAACAUAAAUACAGAGUUUGCAUCAAAAUUAUUUGGUUCGGCUGAACCCGCAAUUCUUACUCUAGCUCUGCCCCUGCAAACAACAUAGUAAAUUAUAUAUAUAUAUAUAUGUAUGUGUGUGUGUGUUUUACAAUAUAAUAUAACGCUUUUAACUUGUCAUAGGUUUGUAAUUUAUAUAACUAGUUCCUCAAAUAUUAUGUCAUAAAGAUGUUAACGAGUAUAUGAUGUUCAGAUGUUGUGACAGAAGCGGCGUGUCAUAGCAGAGCAGAUUGUCAUAUGGCAUGUGAAUCUGGAUUUGCAACUUGUGUUGAUGGGACUUGCAUAUGUUUAGCCAAUAUAUAUUCCACCCAUCGUCAAGGUCCUUCCUUUCUUUCCUUGCACUCCACCCACCCCUUCCUUUUUCUAUAUCUCAAUUACUUCUUUUUUUUUCACUCGGCGUACGAUACCUAUAUUAAGAUUUGGGGCUAGGGACGGAUGCACCAUAUAAUUACCAGAUUCAAUUGAACCCAAUAAUUUUGAUACGGAGCAUAAAUUUAUGUAUAUAAAAUCAUUAAAAUUGUAAUAAAUAGUAGAUAUGAACCCAUAAAUUUGAAUGUUGAACCCGUAGAACUAAAAUACUAGACCCACCUAUGAUUGAGGCCCGACUAAAUCUAGAUUUGUACCAUGAAGACUCACAUUGGAGUUAAAACGCUCCAUAACAAAGACGACUUCAUAACCAGGGGUUCGAACCCAAUACUUCUGGUUAAGUAUGAAUGAGUACUUACUACUCCACCACAACUUUCGUUGGUCUCUCAAUCACUUAUCAACACAAUAUUAAGUUAUAACAUCAGCAAAAAGAUUUAUAUCAUUGAACCCUUUAUAGCUUUUAAGUUAUGGGUUCAUGUUCUACUAUUUAUUACAAUUUAAAUGAUGUUAAUACAUAAAUUUAGGAUCCGUGCCAAAAUGUUAUGGGUUCCGUUAAACUCAUAAAUUGUCGUAAAUGUUGACAAUUUAUAUAGGAGUAACUAAAUUCUUCAAAAACUUAUAUCUGUGCAAAAUACUAACGAGUUUUGUGAUCUUCAUAUGCGAUGACAGGAGAGAAGUGUAAGAGUAAAGAAGAUUGUCAUUUGAACUGUAGAGGUGGAAUUCCAUUCUGUGUAGAAGGGACUUGCGUAUGUAUUUGAAACAAGACAAUAUGCUCCUUUGAUCAUGGAGGUGGCAACUAUCGAGUUUCACGAGUAUUGGAUUGUAUUUUAAGACGCAUCAUUGUAUAAGUUAAUCUUUACUUGACGAAGUAAAUGGCAAUAAAAUUUGUUAGUUGCGUCAUGAUCAGAAAAUUUUGUUUUAUUUUAGAUCUUGAAUCAUUAAAAAAAAUGGCAGCCCCGUGCAGAAGGUAUUCUGCGUUCACGUCCGGUGAAGGACCGACCCCAAGGGAUAUGAUGUAGACAAUGUAUUUUAAUAUAAGCAUUAGUGGUUGUUUCUGCGGCUUAUCUAAAAAGCGC
Molecule: long non-coding RNA, 1892 nt
Filed under: Nicotiana tabacum (common tobacco)
Lineage: Eukaryota; Viridiplantae; Streptophyta; Magnoliopsida; Solanales; Solanaceae
Description: long non-coding RNA (NTAB_LNC005796)
Source: RNAcentral